UACGUAGGGUGCGAGCGUUAAUCGGCAUUACUGGGCGUAAAGCGUGCGCAGGCGGUUAUGCAAGACAGAUGUGAAAUCCCCGGGCUCAACCUGGGAACUGCAUUUGUGACUGCAUGGCUAGAGUGCGGCAGAGGGGGAUGGAAUUCCGCGUGUAGCAGUGAAAUGCGUAGAUAUGCGGAGGAACACCGAUGGCGAAGGCAAUCCCCUGGGCCUGCACUGACGCUCAUGCACGAAAGCGUGGGGAGCAAACAGG
RNAcentral lists this ribosomal RNA (253 nucleotides) under uncultured bacterium. RNAcentral describes it as "partial 16S ribosomal RNA". It matches the Rfam family "Bacterial small subunit ribosomal RNA", at positions 524 to 776 of the family's 1533-position model. The record is from RNAcentral.